This 445-nucleotide ribosomal RNA is filed under the name uncultured bacterium. RNAcentral's name for it is "partial 16S ribosomal RNA". It matches the Rfam family "Bacterial small subunit ribosomal RNA", at positions 354 to 796 of the family's 1533-position model. The record is from RNAcentral.
GUGAGGAAUAUUGGUCAAUGGACGGAAGUCUGAACCAGCCAUGCCGCGUGCAGGAAUAAGGUCCUAUGGAUUGUAAACUGCUUUUAUUCGGGAAUAAACCUCUUUACGUGUAGGGAGCUGAAGGUACCGAAGGAAUAAGCACCGGCUAACUCCGUGCCAGCAGCCGCGGUAAUACGGAGGGUGCAAGCGUUAUCCGGAAUCAUUGGGUUUAAAGGGUCCGCAGGCGGGCUAUCAAGUCAGAGGUGAAAUCCCACAGCUUAACUGUGGAACUGCCUUUGAAACUGAUGGUCUUGAAUUAAGUGGGCGUUGGCGGAAUAUGACAUGUAGCGGUGAAAUGCAUAGUUAUGUCAUGGAACACCGAAAGCGAAGGCAGCUAACGAUACUUAUAUUGACGCUCAUGGACGAAAGCGUGGGUAGCGAACAGGAUUAGAUACCCUUGUAGUCC